UGGGGAAUUGUUCGCAAUGAGCGCAAGCCUGACGACGCAACGCCGCGUGGAGGAUGAAGGUCUUCGGAUUGUAAACUCCUGUUGAUCGGGACGAAAAGCUUCGACCUAACACGUCGAAGACUGACGGUACCGGUUGAGGAAGCCACGGCUAACUCUGUGCCAGCAGCCGCGGUAAUACAGAGGUGGCAAGCGUUGUUCGGAAUUACUGGGCGUAAAGGGCGCGUAGGCGGUCUUCUAAGUCGGACGUGAAAGCCCCAGGCUUAACCUGGGAACUGCGUCCGAUACUGGGAGGCUUGGAUUCGGGAGAGGGAUGUGGAAUUCCAGGUGUAGCGGUGAAAUGCGUAGAUAUCUGGAGGAACACCGGUGGCGAAGGCGGCAUCCUGGACCGAGAUCGACGCUGAGGCGCGAAAGCUAGGGGAGCAAACGGGAUUAGAUACCCCGGGUAGUCCUAGCCCUAAACGAUGAGUGCUUGGUGUGGCGGGUAUCGAUCCCUGCCGUGCCGAAGCUAACG
Molecule: ribosomal RNA, 511 nt
Filed under: uncultured Acidobacteriota bacterium
Lineage: Bacteria; Pseudomonadati; Acidobacteriota
Description: bacterial SSU rRNA
Rfam family: Bacterial small subunit ribosomal RNA
Source: RNAcentral